AUUGAACGCUGGCGGCAUGCUUUACACAUGCAAGUCGAACGGUAACAGGCCUUCGGGUGCUGACGAGUGGCGAACGGGUGAGUAAUGCAUCGGAACGUACCCAGAGGUGGGGGAUAACGCAGCGAAAGCUGUGCUAAUACCGCAUGUGAUCUGAGGAUGAAAGCGGGGGACCGAGCAGCAAUGUUUGGCCUCGCGCCUUUGGAGCGGCCGAUGUCGGAUUAGCUAGUUGGUGGGGUAAAGGCCUACCAAGGCGACGAUCCGUAGCUGGUCUGAGAGGACGAGCAGCCACACUGGGACUGAGGCACGGCCAAGACUCCUACGGGUGGCAGCAGUGGGGGAUUUUGGAGGAAGGGAGCAGGGCUGAUCCAGCAAUGCCGCGUGAAGGAAUAAGGCAGUCGGGUUGUGAAACGGUUUUGGCAGGAACGAAACGGUGUCCGCUAAUACCGGGAUGUAAUGACGAGACCCGGAGAAUAAGCACCCGCUUACUACGUG
This 492-nucleotide ribosomal RNA is filed under the name uncultured bacterium. Its description in RNAcentral is "partial 16S ribosomal RNA". It matches the Rfam family "Bacterial small subunit ribosomal RNA", at positions 29 to 507 of the family's 1533-position model. The record is from RNAcentral.